GGGCCAGGGCGGCGUGCUUACCAUGCAGUCGAACGAUGAAGCCCAGCUUGCUGGGUGGAUUAGUGGCGAACGGGUGAGUAACACGUGAGCAACCUGCCCCUGACUCUGGGAUAAGCGCUGGAAACGGCGUCUAAUACUGGAUAUGUCCCGUCACCGCAUGGUGUGCGGGUGGAAAGAUUUUUCGGUUGGGGAUGGGCUCGCGGCCUAUCAGCUUGUUGGUGAGGUAAUGGCUCACCAAGGCGUCGACGGGUAGCCGGCCUGAGAGGGUGACCGGCCACACUGGGACUGAGACACGGCCCAGACUCCUACGGGAGGCAGCAGUGGGGAAUAUUGCACAAUGGGCGGAAGCCUGAUGCAGCAACGCCGCGUGAGGGAUGACGGCCUUCGGGUUGUAAACCUCUUUUAGCAGGGAAGAAGCGAAAGUGACGGUACCUGCAGAAAAAGCACCGGCUAACUACGUGCCAGCAGCCGCGGUAAUACGUAGGGUGCAAGCGUUAUCCGGAAUUAUUGGGCGUAAAGAGCUCGUAGGCGGUCUGUCGCGUCUGCUGUGAAAUCCCGAGGCUCAACCUCGGGCUUGCAGUGGGUACGGGCAGACUAGAGUGCGGUAGGGGAGAUUGGAAUUCCUGGUGUAGCGGUGGAAUGCGCAGAUAUCAGGAGGAACACCGAUGGCGAAGGCAGAUCUCUGGGCCGUAACUGACGCUGAGGAGCGAAAGGGUGGGGAGCAAACAGGCUUAGAUACCCUGGUAGUCCACCCCGUAAACGUUGGGAACUAGUUGUGGGGUCCUUUCCACGGAUUCCGUGACGCAGCUAACGCAUUAAGUUCCCCGCCUGGGGAGUACGGCCGCAAGGCUAAAACUCAAAGGAAUUGACGGGGACCCGCACAAGCGGCGGAGCAUGCGGAUUAAUUCGAUGCAACGCGAAGAACCUUACCAAG
This 934-nucleotide ribosomal RNA is filed under the name Microbacterium sp. Its description in RNAcentral is "bacterial SSU rRNA". It matches the Rfam family "Bacterial small subunit ribosomal RNA", at positions 32 to 978 of the family's 1533-position model. Lineage: Bacteria; Bacillati; Actinomycetota; Actinomycetes; Micrococcales; Microbacteriaceae. The record is from RNAcentral.